UAUGUUUAAUGCUUUUCGACAUGUCCCCAAAUUAAUAUAAUUGGUUUAGUUUGUUUUGAUAUUUUAACCUGCGUUUCGUGAUCGCGUUUGGUGUGGGGGGGGACAAAAUAUAUUUAUGCACGUGAGCAGCCGGUUUCGGUUCCAGAGGACAAACACCCUUGGCUGUAUCUAAAAUAAAUGUUUUAAUUUCUCAGGAUGAAUCCUUCAUUCCAUCAGAUGAAAUGUCUGUUAGGUUUACCAGAAGUUCAGGAAAUACUAGCGUCAAAGAAAUCGCCGCCGUUAGCUUGCUAAACUAACUAGCCCAUGUUUGCUAAUGCAACAAGCAGUGUUAGUUGAUGCUAGCUAAUCCUAAAUAGUUUAACUACCUACUUUAGCUGGCUAAAAAUAUGCCCAGAUUCGGGAAGCUUUGUUGACUGACGUUAACACAAAUCGAACUGACAUAGCCAAUUCCCCCCAAAUAACGCACAGCCCCCAACUUUGGACACACUAGCGGUUGGAGGACUAAGUAAACUUGAGCGCAACAUUUAAGUGGACUGGAAAAUAACAGUAAGUUUUGCGACUAAAAGACACCCGUCUAGCUAGCUGACCACCGAUUUUUAUUGCAAUUUAUGUAAUUUGAGUUUUCAAAAAGGUAAUAUGUAUACACAUUUUUGUAGGACACGCUGUAUAUCGUAAAAUUCGACAUACCACACAUUUAAUAUCGAACCUUUUACCGCUGAAAUAUAGCCAACAGAUUUGCUGAUGUUGCUAUCAAAAUGCUGAUAGUUGUAGUAUUUCCACUAAAAUGUCAAACAUGCUAAUUGCUAACCCAUUUGCUAACAUUUUUACAACACCAAUAAAUCACAAAAUAUUGAUGGCUUGAUCACAAGAUCACUAUUGGUAAUGUUUCUUAAACAAUGUUGAAAAUACGGUGUGCUACGCUAGUCCGAAUCUGGUCACAUUGCCAUCAGCUAACACCGAACCCAAACCGGCUGCGAGCAUGCGCACAUAAAUUUUGUCGCCCCACACCAAACACGACAUGCAGGUUUAAUGAUCAAAACAAACUCUGAACUUGGGAACAGUUCGAAAAGCAUAAAAUAUUUAUGGCAAUUUCGCUAUUUAGCUUGCACUUGCUAGCUCAUUUGUCCUGGGAUACAAACAUUGAGUUGUUAUUUCACCUGAAAUGCAAAGUCCUCUACUCUGCCAAUUAAUCCACAUAAAACCGGCAACCAAAUAAUUUCUAGUCAUCCCUCUUCCUUCCAGGCCUUUCUUCUCUUUAUAUUGCGAACUUUCAUAAAUUAAGUGCAUUACCGCCACCGACCUCGUUCGUCUUUCAGUCACCCAUGUGGGUAUAACCAAUGAGGAGAUGGCAACGCAGACGCUCUUUAGCGCAAUAAUUGAAUAACAGAUUUUUACAUUUAUUUUGCAACGGUCGAGCACGCGACGUGAGCGUUGUGGUCAGCAUUUAACGUUAGUCAAGCUAAAUACCCUUUUCUCUAAAACACUCCUGGUCAAGCUAGCUAACAUUGGAAACCUAACACCCACUAGUUUAGCUAGAAAUGUUAUUCCUUGUGUUAGUUGAUAAAGUUGUUCUUCUCACGUAGGUAAUUACUGUAGACUUACGUUAGCUAGAUCAAUGAACAUUGUAAUAUUCAUUGGUCAAACUCACUUAACUAAUGUUAUUUAUAGCGUUACAAUUAGGAUCCUAUACCUUAAGUAUUUGGUGAUGGUAGUUACCUAGUUAACUGUCUUUUCCUAUUAUUAUUAUUAUUAUUAUUAUUAUUAUUAUUUCAGAGAAAGCACGUACACCAUUUUAAGAUUUUUAGAGAACUGACAGCAAACACAUUGAAGAGAACAUGCCUCACACUCCCGCCACCAUCAAGCUGAGCACAUUAUUGAAGGCAGCGUCUCAACUCCAUCGACAAAGCUGUGGUGAAGUAUAUGGUCCUUGGGCUCCAACUAUUCGCUGUAGUAGAACGAGAACCAUUAAAGGCCCACACUGCACUCCAGGAUUAAUGAAGCAUCCAAGGAAAUGAAGGUGACUGAGGGCAUGAGAGGAGUUGACCACAACGCCGCCACCACCGACUGCUGGUCUGCAAGAAGACGGAGCUUCAUUGGUGUUACAGAGGAUUGCACACCUUUGAAGUAUUGGCAGGCGCCCUAAAUGACAUCCAUUCUGAGUUUGAAACUCGGAGGAAGAUUGUCUGUUCUAACAAUGACUACCUUAUUCAAAGCUUUACAAGUCUUUGGAGAAGGUGAAAACAACAAGGCAGUUGAAGCAGUGGGUUUGGGUGGUGAGGCAGCUAGCCAGGACGAUGGUGAAGAGGAACAAGAGGAGAUUGAAGUGAAGUUUGAUGUGGCAACGAUCCUGAAUGUAGAUGGUUGAAAGUACCAGCUGCCGAAGCACCAGUGUUGUGCUUGCCACCUACUCCACUAAGGCUCUACAGGCAAUGCUCUGAAAGCAACAUCCAGUGAGGCAUACAAAAUAAAGUGUUCUGUUCAACAUUUGGCAAGUGCCUAGCACUUUGGAACAAAUGCAGGAGAUCUCCACUUGCAGCCGAAACCAAUGAAGAUACUUGCGACCUCCAACUGCUACGCCCGAAUGCUACAAGGUGGAACUCCUGGUUGUAGAAAGACUGAGGAUCGUCAAAGGAGAGGCGGCCGUCAGUUCUCUGCACAGACUUCAAGGUUCCAAUGUUCAAUCCAGCUGAAGUCGCCUUCCUCACAGAGUAUGCUUCUACCAUGAGCCCAGGGUAAAAGGCCAUCAACAUCCUGCAGGCUGAAAGCAAUGUCCAGGAAUGUACUACAUCAAGGACCACAUGGAAAAACCCUGCAGCUAGGUGAUGGCAGAAGUCCUUCUGGUGAACUGGUGGCAUGAAGACAUCUCAAGCACAAUUAAGCUCCAAACAGCUGGACAGAUACCUAGCCUGUUAAGCUGAUCAUAGGGAGUUGCUCAAGUCCUUCCCAGCAGUCUGAAGUUGAACACACCCUUGCCUGCCUCAACUGCAUGUGAAAGGCGGUUCAGCAUUGCAGGAUUUGUUUUCAGCCCAAUGAGAGCAGGGCUGGAUUCCAGAAACUUUGAAAAACAUAUUUUACUGAAGAUGAAGUGCAAAUUCAACUUCAAGUAAUGACACCUUAAUGCUAGCAAGCCCAAGGAAAGGGAUGCCUUAUGCGUUUUGUCACAUUUAAAAUUCACAAGUCAUAGGUGUCCAUGUUAAAGGUGUGACCUGAAACACUGAUUUCGAAUCCAGUUCCAUCAGAGGUGACGUCCUCAUAUUCCUACAGUGAGGUUGUGUGCAGAUCUGUACAUGUACUUUGAGUUACCUAAAAAAAAUGUUUUUUAAAGAAACGAACUAUAGGGUUCUAUACAAAACAAAUUAUCAAGCAAAGUGACUGAUUGUAACUGCUUAUGUUUAGUGGCUAUAUUUUGUCUGUAAGAGAUGUAUUUUUAAGUGUUAUCUGAGCACUUUUUGCAUCCGUAAGACUUACCUUCCAGAAAAGCUCAAACCAAAUAAAAGAUCUGUCUGUUUUGCUUUUCAGAUUUACAGCUCUAACAUUUCAUACUUAAAGUAGCUGAUAUUAAAUGUACUUUAAGACUUUUACUCAAGUAAUAGUCUAAUGAGUGACUAUCUUCUAAAUGAGUCAUUUUCCAGUAAGGUAUCUUUACUUUUACUCAAGUAUGGCUUUUGGGUACCUUUUCCACCACUGCCUGUGGGUCCCCAGGAUUGGAGAGAACCUUACUCUAGGUUGUGAUGUCAUACCUGGCAUACAGUGUGCAGAAGAAGAAGAUGACCAGUCC
Molecule: long non-coding RNA, 3778 nt
Organism: Oncorhynchus tshawytscha (Chinook salmon)
Lineage: Eukaryota; Metazoa; Chordata; Actinopteri; Salmoniformes; Salmonidae
Exons: 3
Source: RefSeq, a predicted model, not a curated record